GCUCAGAACGAACGCUGGCGGCGUGGAUAAGACAUGCAAGUCGAACGGGAUUUCAUUUGUAGCAAUACACGUGAAGUUCAGUGGCGUAAGGGUGCGUAACACGUGGGCAAUCUGCCGAGAUGUGGGGGAUAGCUCGCCGAAAGGCGAAUUAAUACCGCAUGUGGUUAGUGCUGGAUUCAGCGCGACACCAAAGCCGGGGUAACCUGGCGCAUCUUGAUGAGCCCGCGGCCUAUCAGCUAGUUGGUGAGGUAACGGCUCACCAAGGCUAUGACGGGUAGCUGGUCUGAGAGGACGACCAGCCACACUGGAACUGAGACACGGUCCAGACACCUACGGGUGGCAGCAGUCGAGAAUUUUUCUCAAUGGGGGAAACCCUGAAGGAGCGACGCCGCGUGGAGGAUGAAGGUCUUCGGAUUGUAAACUCCUGUCAUUUGGGAACAAUUGUUGGUCAUUAACUGUGAUCAGCUUGAUAGUACCAGAAGAGGAAGAGACGGCUAACUCUGUGCCAGCAGCCGCGGUAAUACAGAGGUCUCAAGCGUUGUUCGGAUUCAUUGGGCGUAAAGGGUGCGUAGGUGGCGAGGUUAGUCAGGUGUGAAAUCUCGGGGCUCAACCCCGAAACUGCACUUGAUACUGCCUUGCUAGAGUACUGGAGAGGAGAUUGGAAUUUACGGUGUAGCAGUGAAAUGCGUAGAUAUCGUAAGGAAGACCAGUGGCGAAGGCGAAUCUCUGGACAGUUACUGACACUGAGGCACGAAGGCCAGGGGAGCAAACGGGAUUAGAUACCCCGGUAGUCCUGGCAGUAAACGGUGCGCGUUUGGUGUGGGGGGAUUCGACCCCUUCUGUGCCGGAGCUAACGCGUUAAACGCGCCGCCUGGGGAG
This 879-nucleotide ribosomal RNA is filed under the name uncultured bacterium. RNAcentral describes it as "bacterial SSU rRNA". It matches the Rfam family "Bacterial small subunit ribosomal RNA", at positions 22 to 880 of the family's 1533-position model. The record is from RNAcentral.